GACGAACGCUGGCGGCGUGCCUAAUACAUGCAAGUAGAACGCUGAAGGAGGAGCUUGCUUCUCUGGAUGAGUUGCGAACGGGUGAGUAACGCGUAGGUAACCUGCCUGGUAGCGGGGGAUAACUAUUGGAAACGAUAGCUAAUACCGCAUAAUAGUAGAUGUUGCAUGACAUUUGCUUAAAAGGUGCAAUUGCAUCACUACCAGAUGGACCUGCGUUGUAUUAGCUAGUUGGUGGGGUAACGGCUCACCAAGGCGACGAUACAUAGCCGACCUGAGAGGGUGAUCGGCCACACUGGGACUGGGACACGGCCCAGACUCCUACGGGAGGCAGCAGUAGGGAAUCUUCGGCAAUGGACGGAAGUCUGACCGAGCAACGCCGCGGGAGUGAAGAAGGUUUUCGGAUCGUAAAGCUCUGUUGUAAGAGAAGAACGAGUGUGAGAGUGGAAAGUUCACACUGUGACGGUAGCUUACCAGAAAGGGACGGCUAACUACGUG
This 495-nucleotide ribosomal RNA is filed under the name uncultured bacterium. RNAcentral's name for it is "partial 16S ribosomal RNA". It matches the Rfam family "Bacterial small subunit ribosomal RNA", at positions 28 to 507 of the family's 1533-position model. The record is from RNAcentral.